CAAUGGAAGGCCUUCUUGUGCU
RNAcentral lists this unclassified non-coding RNA (22 nucleotides) under Mus musculus (house mouse). Its description in RNAcentral is "oocyte_clustered_small_RNA8289". The record is from RNAcentral. Lineage: Eukaryota; Metazoa; Chordata; Mammalia; Rodentia; Muridae.